RNAcentral lists this ribosomal RNA (774 nucleotides) under uncultured Neocallimastigales. Its description in RNAcentral is "partial large subunit ribosomal RNA". It matches the Rfam family "Eukaryotic large subunit ribosomal RNA", at positions 24 to 645 of the family's 3401-position model. The record is from RNAcentral. Lineage: Eukaryota; Fungi; Neocallimastigomycota; Neocallimastigomycetes; Neocallimastigales.
UAUCUCUGUAGAGUCUGCAUAUCAAUAAGCGGAGGAAAAGAAACUAACAAGGAUUCCCUUAGUAACGGCGAGUGAAGCGGGAAGAGCUCAAAUUUGAAAUCUUCAAGGUUCUACCUUGACGAAUUGUAGUUUAAAGAAGUGUUUUCUGUUAGAUGAGUAGCAAAAGUUCCUUGGAAUGGGACAUCAUAGAGGGUGAGAAUCCCGUAUUUGGUUAUUCAUUCUAGCUUUGUGAUACACUUUCAAAGAGUCGGAUUGUUUGGGAAUGCAGUCCAAAAUGGGUGGUAAAUUUCAUCUAAAGCUAAAUAUUGGCGAGAGACCGAUAGCGAACAAGUACCGUGAGGGAAGAUGAAAAGAACUUUGAAAAGAGAGUUAAACAGUACGUGAAAUUGUCAAAAGGGAAGCGUUUGACACCAGUGUUGUUUUUCCGAAAAUCAAUUACGAAUGGCUUGAUUUUGUGUUGUAUUGACCUUAUCAGCUUUCUGCACUUUUUUCGAGUCUCUCUUAAUGCACUUUUCGGUUAACAAGUCAACAUCAAUUUCUUUUGUUGUAAAAGAGUAUUCGGAAGGUGGCUUUCUUUUCGGAGAAAGUGUUUAUAGCCCUAUACUUCUACAAUCGGAGAGAUUGAGGUCUGCAGCGUAGAUCCUUCGGGGUUAGAUACACUUGUGCUAAGUUGUAGCUUUUCAUAGACAACUUGUUGACUAUGUUUAGUCAUGCGGCUUACUCGCUUGUGCUAUUUUACCUACGCUUAGGAUGUUGACUGAUAUGUAGUCGUAA